AUGUUCGAUGUCACCUCCCAGCUAAACUACAAGAACGUUCCCACAUGGCACAGAGACAUCUGCAGGCAUUCUUAUCUGGCAGACCAGGCAGGUGGCGACAACCUUUUGGAUGAACAGAGGCAUGAUCUUUACAAUGAAGCACAAAGUUUGUCAGACAUUCUUGAUAAAGAGUCGAUAUAUCUAACUAUCCAAGCUACCAUUGAUGAAGCACAAGAUGCUGAAAAUGUGGAAAAUCAUAUUUCACUGGCUAAAAUGUUAGAAGUGAACCAGGAAGUUAGUACCGCCAAAAUUAUGCUCCUGUCUUUGCUCCUACGCCAGAUGUGCGCCGACAUCAAGAAGGCGGAUAUUAUUUUCGCAUGCCUGUCUGACAUGGCUUCCAAUGUCAAUGGAACACCUGGCGGAAUCCAGUACUUUGGAGAGCGCGAAGAUCACUGUUACUUGGGUAAUGAAGUUAAGCUCUAUGAACACCAUGUAGAUGCUCUCUUUGCUAUGCUUUGGCACAAAAAGGCAGACAUCAACUACUACGUGUGCACCAUCAAUAAAAUAUUUGCCAAGCCAGGCCAGCGCAUGUAUUUCCAGGUCCACUAUAUGGAAGAGAACCUGCUGGAGUACAUUGAUCUACAUGAUGAUACACUCAUCGCCAGGCUCAUAGAUGGCAUCUACUCGCCGAAUGUUGCAUUAUGCUAG
This 687-nucleotide ribosomal RNA is filed under the name Triticum aestivum (bread wheat). RNAcentral's name for it is "partial small subunit ribosomal RNA". The record is from RNAcentral. Lineage: Eukaryota; Viridiplantae; Streptophyta; Magnoliopsida; Poales; Poaceae.